GGGUUGUGAGGUUAAGCGACUAAGCGUACACGGUGGAUGCCCUGGCAGUCAGAGGCGAUGAAGGGCGUGCUAAUCUGCGAUAAGCGCCGGUAAGGUGAUAUGAACCGUUAUAACCGGCGAUACCCGAAUGGGGAAACCCAGUGUGAUUCGUCACACUAUCAUUAACUGAAUCCAUAGGUUAAUGAGGCGAACCGGGGGAACUGAAACAUCUAAGUACCCCGAGGAAAAGAAAUCAACCGAGAUUCCCCCAGUAGCGGCGAGCGAACGGGGAGGAGCCCAGAGCCUGAAUCAGCAUGUGUGUUAGUGGAAGCGUCUGGAAAGGCGCGCGAUACAGGGUGACAGCCCCGUACACAAAAGCGCAUGUGCUGUGAGCUCGAUGAGUAGGGCGGGACACGUGGUAUCCUGUCUGAAUAUGGGGGGACCAUCCUCCAAGGCUAAAUACUCCUGACUGACCGAUAGUGAACCAGUACCGUGAGGGAAAGGCGAAAAGAACCCCGGCGAGGGGAGUGAAAAAGAACCUGAAACCGUGUACGUACAAGCAGUGGGAGCACAGGUUUACCUGUGUGACUGCGUACCUU
Molecule: ribosomal RNA, 578 nt
Filed under: Salmonella enterica subsp. enterica serovar Muenchen
Lineage: Bacteria; Pseudomonadati; Pseudomonadota; Gammaproteobacteria; Enterobacterales; Enterobacteriaceae
Also listed under: 1 other name
Description: partial 23S ribosomal RNA
Rfam family: Bacterial large subunit ribosomal RNA
Source: RNAcentral